Molecule: ribosomal RNA, 253 nt
Filed under: uncultured bacterium
Lineage: Bacteria
Description: partial 16S ribosomal RNA
Rfam family: Bacterial small subunit ribosomal RNA
Source: RNAcentral
GACGAACCGAGCGAACGUUGUUCGGAAUCACUGGGCUUAAAGAGCGCGUAGGCGGGUGCUCAAGUCCGGGGUGAAAUCCUCCAGCUCAACUGGAGAACUGCCUCGGAUACUGGGUGCCUCGAGUGUGGUAGGGGUGUGCGGAACUAUCGGUGGAGCGGUGAAAUGCGUUGAUAUCGAUAGGAACUCCGGUGGCGAAGGCGGCACACUGGACCACAACUGACGCUGAGGCGCGAAAGCCAGGGGAGCAAACGGG